CCUACGGGUGGCAGCAGUGAGGAAUAUUGGUCAAUGGACGAGAGUCUGAACCAGCCAAGCAGCGUGAAGGAUGACUGCCCUCUGGGUUGUAAACUUCUUUUAUAUGGGAAUAAAACGUUCCACUUGUGGGAUUUUGUAUGUACCAUAUGAAUAAGGAACGGCUAACUCCGUUCCAGCAGCCGCGGUAAUACGGAGGAUCCGAGCGUUAUCCGGAUUUAUUGGGUUUAAAGGGACCGUAGGUGGAUUGUUAAGUCAGUUGGGAAAGUUUGCGGCUCAACCGGAAAAUUGCAGUUGAAACUGGCAGUCUUGAGUACAGUAGAGGUGGGCGGAAUUCGUGGUGUAGCGGUGAAAUGCGUAGAUAUCACGAAGAACUCCGAUUGCGAAGGCAGUUCACUGGACUGCAACUGACACUGAGGCUCGAAAGUGUGGGGAUCAAACAGGAUUAGAUACCCUAGUAGUC
RNAcentral lists this ribosomal RNA (460 nucleotides) under uncultured bacterium. Its description in RNAcentral is "partial 16S ribosomal RNA". It matches the Rfam family "Bacterial small subunit ribosomal RNA", at positions 338 to 795 of the family's 1533-position model. The record is from RNAcentral.